This is a transfer RNA of Ovis aries (sheep), 72 nucleotides long. It matches the Rfam family "tRNA". From Rfam's summary of the family: Transfer RNA (tRNA) molecules are approximately 80 nucleotides in length. Their secondary structure includes four short double-helical elements and three loops (D, anti-codon, and T loops). The record is from Rfam. NCBI's taxonomy places the organism in Eukaryota, Metazoa, Chordata, Mammalia, Artiodactyla, Bovidae.
UCCCUGGUGGCUCAGAGGUUAAAGUAUCUGCCUCAAAUGCGGGAGACCUGGGUUCGAUCCCUGGGUUGGGAA